UGGGAGAAGAAGCCCCGGCUAACUUCGUGCCAGCAGCCGCGGUAAUACGAAGGGGGCUAGCGUUGUUCGGAAUCACUGGGCGUAAAGCGCACGUAGGCGGAUCUUUAAGUCAGGGGUGAAAUCCCGAGGCUCAACCUCGGAACUGCCUUUGAUACUGGGGAAUCUCGAGUCCGGGAGAGGUGAGUGGAACUGCGAGUGUAGAGGUGAAAUUCGUAGAUAUUCGC
RNAcentral lists this ribosomal RNA (224 nucleotides) under uncultured Alphaproteobacteria bacterium. RNAcentral's name for it is "partial 16S ribosomal RNA". It matches the Rfam family "Bacterial small subunit ribosomal RNA", at positions 479 to 701 of the family's 1533-position model. Lineage: Bacteria; Pseudomonadati; Pseudomonadota; Alphaproteobacteria. The record is from RNAcentral.